CCUUUAUCCAAGGAGACUUACAGAGACUAAGUUUGAAAUGGAUACCCAGGCAGUGUGAGAGUCUCACAGCAGCAAAGUAUUUCUGUUCUUCAAGAGCCUGUAUGGUACAGCGGCACAACUGUGUUUAACGCAACAAAACAAAACCUCAAUGUACAAGGCCCUCCUCCUGUCUGCAGAGUGGAUUACAGUAACCUGGAGAGAGGCGCAAGCAAGGGGGGCAGUCUGGAUAAAACUGUAAAGUCAGGACAACUCUGAGCACAGCACACGUCCGGCAGCACCUUGUGAGCUCAACACAGACCGAGAGAUAACAAGGGACCGGCAGAAAGAAAGUAAAGAAAAAGAGGAGAACUGGGGGAGUUUCUUUGUGGGUGGAGCUGCUGGCAAGUUUUUAGGACCCACUCCCCCUCCCCCCAAUCUCAUCUUGCCAUUGCUGUUUAAUAAUCCGGCAUCACAGGGGACAGCUUGGCCUGGCUUGACUUUACCAGGGAACAAGUGUUUUUUUUUUUUUUUUUCUUCUUGUACAGGGUUUUUUUUCACUCUCACAAAAAAAAGUGGGCGUUUCAGGUUCAUUGCUGCUUGUACAUAAUUUUUUUCUUUUUUUUUUAAAUAGCAAAGGAGUGUACUUUUUUUUAUUCCUUGUUGUUGUUUAUUAAUAUUAUUAUUAUAAACAACAAACCGUAUUUAACAGAUACAGGAUUCACGCUAGAACUUCACCUGCAAUCGGACAGCACGUUUCAAAACAAGGAUUAUAAUUAGACAAAAAUAUAUAUAUUUUUUUUCUCUACUGACCAGCUGAUCUGUGCACUCAUGUAGUGUUAAAAGCUGCACCACAUUUUUUAUUGUUUUUGUUAUUAUUAUUACUAUUUAAUUUUUCAUUUCUGUAAGAUUUAUUUUUUCCUCAAUUUGGGAGGCAGUGGAUUAAGUCUCGUGGGAUCCUCCGCCAUGGCGAGUAACAGCAGUUCCUGCCCCAACCCACAAGGGGGCACUCACCUCAAUGGCUACCCCGUGCAGCACUACCCCUUCUUCUUCCCGCAUGUAAUUGGGGGUCUCUCACCCCCCGGCCUCGCCGCACUCCAGCAUCAGCUACCAGUCAGCAGCUACAGCACUCCGUCUC
Long non-coding RNA from Polyodon spathula (Mississippi paddlefish), 1114 nucleotides. RefSeq lists it as uncharacterized. The record is from RefSeq and is a predicted model, not a curated record. NCBI's taxonomy places the organism in Eukaryota, Metazoa, Chordata, Actinopteri, Acipenseriformes, Polyodontidae. The transcript has 3 exons.